UAAAACUUUCAACAACGGAUCUCUUGGUUCUGGCAUCGAUGAAGAACGCAGCGAAAUGCGAUAAGUAAUGUGAAUUGCAGAAUUCAGUGAAUCAUCGAAUCUUUGAACGCACAUUGCGCCCCUUGGUAUUCCGGGGGGCAUGCCUGUUCGAGCGUCAU
Molecule: ribosomal RNA, 158 nt
Filed under: Lasiodiplodia theobromae
Lineage: Eukaryota; Fungi; Ascomycota; Dothideomycetes; Botryosphaeriales; Botryosphaeriaceae
Also listed under: 2 other names
Description: 5.8S ribosomal RNA
Rfam family: 5.8S ribosomal RNA
About the family: 5.8S ribosomal RNA (5.8S rRNA) is a component of the large subunit of the eukaryotic ribosome. It is transcribed by RNA polymerase I as part of the 45S precursor that also contains 18S and 28S rRNA. Functionally, it is thought that 5.8S rRNA may be involved in ribosome translocation.
Source: RNAcentral